CUGGUGCCAGCAGCCGCGGUAAUUCCAGCUCCAAUAGCGUAUAUUAAAGUUGUUGCAGUUAAAAGCUCGUAGUUGAAUUUCGGGGUUAGUAGGUUGGUCAUGCCUCUGGUAUGUACUGGUCUCACUGAUUCCUCCUUCCUGAUGAACCUUAAUGCCAUUAAUUUGGUGUUUUGGGGAAUUUGGACUGUUACUUUGAAAAAAUUAGAGUGUUUAAAGCAAGCUAACGCUUGAAUACAUUAGCAUGGAAUAAUGAAAUAGGACGUUCGAUCCUAUUUUGUUGGUUUCUAGGAUUGACGUAAUGAUUAAUAGGGAUAGUUGGGGGCAUUAGUAUUCAAUUGUCAGAGGUGAAAUUCUUGGAUUUAUUGAAGACUAACUACUGCGAAAGCAUUUGCCAAGGAUGUUUUCAUUAAUCAAGAACGAAAGUUAGGGGGAUCGAAGACGAUCAGAUACCGUCGUAGUCUUAACCAUAAACUAUGCCGACUAGGGAUCGGAUGAUGUUAAUUUUUUAAUGACUCAUUCGGCGCCUUACG
Molecule: ribosomal RNA, 530 nt
Filed under: uncultured Glomus
Lineage: Eukaryota; Fungi; Glomeromycota; Glomeromycetes; Glomerales; Glomeraceae
Description: SSU rRNA
Rfam family: Eukaryotic small subunit ribosomal RNA
Source: RNAcentral